UUCCUUCAUUUUUUUCUUUCUUUCUUUCUUUCCUUUCUUCUUCUCUCUUUCUUUUCUUCACGCGGCCUCCUUGCAAACAGCUGGGAAGGAAGGAAUACAGGAGGAGGAAAUGAGAUUGCGAUGA
Molecule: non-coding RNA, 124 nt
Filed under: Chromera velia
Lineage: Eukaryota; Chromeraceae
Source: RNAcentral